Molecule: ribosomal RNA, 484 nt
Filed under: uncultured bacterium
Lineage: Bacteria
Description: partial 16S ribosomal RNA
Rfam family: Bacterial small subunit ribosomal RNA
Source: RNAcentral
AUUGAACGCUGGCGGCAGGCCUAACACAUGCCAGUCGAGCGGAUGAAGGGAGCUUGCUCCUGGAUUCAGCGGCGGACGGGUGAGUAAUGCCUAGGAAUCUGCCUGGUAGUGGGGGAUAACAUCCGGAAACGGGCGCUAAUACCGCAUACGUCCUGAGGGAGAAAGUGGGGGAUCUUCGGACCUCACGCUAUCAGAUGAGCCUAGGUCGGAUUAGCUAGUUGGUGGGGUAAAGGCCUACCAAGGCGACGAUCCGUAACUGGUCUGAGAGGAUGAUCAGUCACACUGGAACUGAGACACGGUCCAGACUCCUACGGGAGGCAGCAGUGGGGAAUAUUGGACAAUGGGCGAAAGCCUGAUCCAGCCAUGCCGCGUGUGUGAAGAAGGUCUUCGGAUUGUAAAGCACUUUAAGUUGGGAGGAAGGGCAGUAAGUUAAUACCUUGCUGUUUUGACGUUACCAACAGAAUAAGCACCGGCUAACUUCGUG